GAUGAACGCUGGCGGCGUGCUUAACACAUGCAAGUCGAACGGUGAAGGCGGAGCUUGCUCUGCUGGUUGAGUGGCGAACGGGUGAGUAACACGUGAGCAACCUGCCCCUGACUCUGGGAUAAGCGCUGGAAACGGCGUCUAAUACUGGAUACGAGCUGCGAAGGCAUGUUCAGCAGCUGGAAAGAAUUUCGGUCAGGGAUGAGCUCGCGGCCUAUCAGCUUGUUGGUGAGGUAAUGGCUCACCAAGGCGUCGACGGGUAGCCGGCCUGAGAGGGUGACCGGCCACACUGGGACUGAGACACGGCCCAGACUCCUACGGGAGGCAGCAGUGGGGAAUAUUGCACAAUGGGCGAAAGCCUGAUGCAGCAACGCCGCGUGAGGGACGACGGCCUUCGGGUUGUAAACCGCUUUUAGCAGGGAAGAAGCGAAAGUGACGGUACCUGCUAAAAAAGCGCCGGCUAACUACGUG
This 468-nucleotide ribosomal RNA is filed under the name uncultured bacterium. RNAcentral's name for it is "partial 16S ribosomal RNA". It matches the Rfam family "Bacterial small subunit ribosomal RNA", at positions 28 to 507 of the family's 1533-position model. The record is from RNAcentral.